This is a non-coding RNA of Armillaria novae-zelandiae, 131 nucleotides long. The record is from the annotation of a GenBank genome assembly. NCBI's taxonomy places the organism in Eukaryota, Fungi, Basidiomycota, Agaricomycetes, Agaricales, Physalacriaceae.
GGCGAGAUGGCCGAGCGGUCUAAGGCGCCAGACUAAGGAAGUGGUGAUUGGCUGAUCAUCAUACGACCAAAUCAGUUUCUGAUUAAGUAAUCUGGUCUUUCGGGGCGUGGGUUCGAAUCCCACUCUCGUCA